UCAACUCUGAGCUGUGUUAGACACCAUCGCCCAGGGCCCCUGGCGUAGCUGGUCCUCAGCUGCCAACAGUGGUAACCCUGUCAGUUCUACAUCCUGCACUCACGCCUUCCCUGCCCUGCACACCUCCCCACCCAUUCAGCGGGGCUUCCUGGGGUCGCCUCUGAAGUGACAGACUGCAUAUGCCACAGUGGUCCCAGAAGAUUCCUGUGGAGCUGAACACUUCCUGUUCGGGGACAUCAUAGCCCUCGUAGUGUCACAGCAUAGUGCUAUGUGCUGAUGCUGGUGUCCCCACACCUAGUGCACUCGUGUCGUCUAAAAGUAUAGCACAUACAAGCAUGCACGGCACGUAAUACUUGGUGCGGAUAAUAUGUUACUGCGUUGUGUAUUUUUUAUACUUUUAAUUGUCGUUUAGAGUAUACUCCUACUUACUGAAAAAGUUUACUGUGAAACAGCAUAUUACUCAUCCAUCUCCUAUAUGCCAUAUCUCUUGAUUGCAUCGUUUUGCCUUGGGCUUGGUGUAAUUUCAUGUUGCUUUAUUCAGCUUGGUCCUGGAGGCAGUAGGCUAUGCCACCUGGAGUCACACAGAGCCUCUGUGUGUUGUAGGCUACACCAUCCAGUUGUGUGAAAGCACUGGCGCCGUGGUGUUUGCACACUUGCUGAGUGGCACGGCGCCCUCCAUCAUUAAGUGACACACGAUUGCACAUACAGUUGAAUUCUCAUUUCAGGGAUGGCUGUUUGGCCUGGCAGUUAAGAUACUGCUUGGGAGGCCUACCUUCAGCAUCAGGGAGCCUUGGUUCAAUUUUCUGCUCUGGUUCCUGAUUUGUUUCCUACCAGCACAGUUUCCUGCCAGCACAGAUGGUGGUUUGAAUAGUUGGGUCCCGGGUCUGUGCAGCGGCUCACUAGGCUAAUCCUCCGCCUGCUGCGCCGGCACCCCAGGUUCUAGUCCCAGUCAGGGUGCCGGAUUCUGUCCCGGUUGCUCCUCUUCCAGUCCAGCUCUCUACUAUGGCCCGGGAGUGCAGUGGAGGAUGACCCAAGUGCUUGGGUCCUGCACCUGCAAGGGAGACCAGGAGAAGCACCUGGCUCCUGGCUUCGGAUCAGCAUGGUGCGCCAGCCACAGCAGCCACUGGGGGGUGAACCAACAGAAAAGGAAGACCUUUCUCUCUGUCUCUCUCUCUCACUGUCCAUUCUGCCUGUCAAAAAAAAAAAAAAAAAAAAAAAAAAAGGUUGGGUCCCUGCCACCUAGAUUGAGUUCCUGGCUUUUGGCUCUGGCACCAUGGCUGUUGCAGGGAUUUGGGGAAUGAACAAAUGGAUGGGUAUCCCUUUCUCUUUCUCUCAAGUGAGUUAAAAAAAAUUCUCAUUUCAGGGUCUGUUUCUGGAAGAUUCCAAGCUAAAGCACACAGAUGCAAAUGAGUCACUCUGGUAUUCUGUGUCUAGACAUUCUCCUUUAUCAUUGGACAAAUGUGCAUGAUCACUUGUUGGACCACGAGCUUUAAUUCUUUGCCAUUCUUGGGGAGGGCCCCUGGGUGUACUUGUCCAGAUGCAGACAAGAUACUGCUAGCUUGCUGUGUGAUGGCACACAAGCCCUGGGCCCGCCAUGGGCCACCGCCAUUCUUUGAGUGUUGUGGUAGCUUCAGGUUUCUAUGAGGAGAUUCAGGGUCGUGCUGUAGGAAUCAGUCUUGCGCUGUGUGGUAGCUCUCUGGAUGGCAGUGGUGCUUGGCUGCUGUGUGGCAUUGGAGGGAAGGUCAGAUCUAGGGAUGGAGGGUAGGUGGCAGCAAAGUCCUGGUCAUAUCAGUCGGAACCUACCAGCUUCCUUUUCUCCAUGUCGGAGAUGACUUUCAGUCUCCCCACUCCAGGCAUUUCCAAGUUUUUCUAUGCAUGACCUGGUUUUCCAGCAAGCUGCCAUCUCCACUGCGGACCCUGCACCCUGCAUAGCCAGAUUGUCUCUGAAGCUGUUCACAUGGUCAAGUUUGCAGUGUAAACCCAGUGAAAAGAUGGUUCCCAUAGAAGCCAAUGAGAGAGGAUUUUAAGUCUUAGAAUCCUGCUGGUCUGUACACCUGGCUGCUAAUCUUUAGAGCAAGCUGAUGGAGAAGGUGACUUUGAGGGCGACGUUCAGCAGCAACAUAAAUAACAGGCCAGCUGUAAUUAGCUUUCAUGGUCUCUGGAAACCUCAGGAAAGACUUGAAACACUUCUAUGAGAACUCUGGACAAACUGCAUGUGUCUGAAAUUAGGAGGAAGGCCCAAAAGCCAGAAAGGAGAUCAGAUCCUCUCGGAAGUUGAGUUUCCCAAUCAAAACACACUCAGGUGCAGGGAGGACCCUCCUGGGAUGAGACUUUGACGGUCUGCUUUAGAGGCAGGCAGAGGAUUCUACUAUGUGCUGCUUCAGAGAACAGCGAAAGAAGGCCAGAGACUUUGCCAGCUUCUGCUGCUUUCCCAGUUGCCAAGAUGCCUUAUCUCAUGGCUGGGUAUAAGAUCCUUGGAAUGCGGUAUCUUCAAACAUUCUUCCACACUCUCACCUCCAGUACUGAAGACAAGGUGUCUGAUGUUCACUUAUCCUUUUUCCAUAUGGAAAUUCUGCCAGUGAAGAUGGGAAGAUAUAUGGAAGCCCUGUGUCUCCUGCUAUUUCAGCUCUGAAAAGUCUGUCCUCUAAUAAAAUGCUGCGUUUAUUUUGAAGAAUUUAAAGUUAGGGGUGUGGGGUAAGAGAAGUGAUAAAUUGGAGCGCUUGUUCUAAAGCUGUGGCACCUGAACAAACACGGAGCCCUUUACCCACUUCUGCCUCCAAAUCUUCUUUCUUUUCUUUCCUAUUCUAAGGUGAGGGUGUCCUGCAAAAGCUCUUCCUGUGGUUGGGAAAUGUCCCAUUUCCCCCUCGAUUGAGGCGGCUCUCAAGGAAUUCUCAUGUAGGAUAAGGAUGGACCACCUCCUUCAGGAAGACUGGGCCCCCAGCCUCCUCCGAAGGCCAGAUGUUGGUAUCUCAGUCUAGACUUCCAGGGAAGCAAGAAAAGCAAUUCCUCCUCCCUGCUUUUAACUCAAUUAGUUUGUGUUUUGCAUUGGGCUGAGCAGUGGAAACUUUCUCUCUGCCAUUUCUGAGUUUCUCCUCCUUUGAAUGUAGGUUGCAUCUAAGUUCAAGGAAGCUGUGAAAGUGCAGAGUGUCCAAGGAUAGGGCAGUGCAGGGGGCAAAGCUUAAUGUCAGUGGUUCCCAUUGCACCACCACACAUCUCAUCCUGCCUGGUUCUUGGUCAUUGAUUCAUACAGAUCACUGCCUCCCAGACUUCCAGUCCCACUAAUACAUCUUUCUGCACUCCAACUGUUGAUCCCUCUCUGUCAAUCAGAAACUUUUAUGUUCUCCUGUCAUUGUGCAGGUUGUCUUGGCCCAUCUGCUUGGAUGCCCCUUGUUGCUUCUCUUCUACCAUCGCAUCCAGAGGCAUGGAGCCAGAGUGUGCAGUUCUGUGUUCUGCAGGAAGUGAGGCACAGAAUCCUUGGCUCCCUGGAGUUCCUGUUGCUACCCUGGAAUCUUCAGUGAGCUGAGUGGCCCCGCCAUGAGAGUGUAGGCCCCUAUAUGCUACUCAAACAUCUACUCACAUAUCAUUGAAUGAUACAACACUGCCAGUUUUGUUGGUCAGAACUGGCUUAGGGGCUGGUGUUGUGGUGCAGUGGGUUGGGCCACCGUUGCCUGAGACAUCAGCAUCCCAUAUGAGCUCCAGUUCGAGUCCUGGAGUUCCAGGAUCCUGACUUCUACCUGGCCCAGUCUCAGUCAUUGCAGCCAUUUGGGGGUGUGAACCAGCAGAUGGAAUCUCUUUCUCUCUCUCUCUGUCUGUCUCUCCCUCUCUCUCCCUCUCCCCCACCUCUUCUCUCUCCCUCUUUCCCUCUGUAUCUCUCUCUCUCUCCCUUCCUAUCUUCCUCUAACUCUGCCUUUCAAAUAAAUAAAUAAGAGCUGGCUUAAUUGCAACAGAUUUAUUCUAAACUGAAUGGAAUAGAAUAAAUUCAGGGCUAUACUGCCAAAUCAGAGUAUACAUUAUUCAAUCUGUCCAUCAUCUUUAUAAAAAUUUUUAUUGCAAUCUUCCUAUAAAGUUUUAUUCCUCCUUGGUGAUCUUUAGUGGUCUUUUGAAAACUAAUCAGGUUUUUGUGCUUGUAUAUUUUGAACAGUUUGUUUCUAAACUGCUGAUACUCUUCAUUUGGAAGAUUGUCUAGUGGUAAGAAAAUGUUCCCAAGUUUUAAAAAUAUGGAACCAGCAGAGUUUUUAGAGGGAAAAUACACAAUUUGGAAACAAAUCUGCACUUUUCAGAAAAAUUUACAGAUAUCUUUUUUAAAAACUGUUCCCUCUAUAACACACAUUUCUGCUUUUUUUUAAAGCUUCUUUUCAUUCUAUGUUUAAAUGUCAUCUUUGCCUUGAGUGGACAGGUUGGGCAUUUUUUUUUGAAAAUGAAGAUGUUUGUUAGAUUGCAAAGCAGUGACAGCCACUUGUCAUUGCAGGAAAGGUCAGCAUAUUUGAAACACUCGUCUGUUUGUAAAAGAAAAGUCUAUAACUCAUCUUUAAAUUUGACAAAUCGUUUAAGUACUUUGCCGUGAGAUUCCAGACAAAUCUUUAUGUGUCACAAAAAGAAUUUCAAGGUCGGUCCCCUUCUAUUCUGAACUAUUGUAAGGAUUCUACUUGAUGUUAAAGGCCUUCAUUUUAUGCGGUUUGCAAGGUCGCUGACGUUCUGUAGUCCCAAUUUCACUGCUGCACCGUUGCGGUGAGGGUUUGCCUCUGAAUGAUUCAGUGUGCAAGCAUGCUUCGUGGGCAAUGCUGUCUUGGCAGUCGUAGCCCAGAAUUCCUUUUUAAUCUCCUAAGACAUUGUAUUUAAUAAAGAAAUCAGUUGUUAAGAUUGUAUCUCUCCCCACAUCACAUCUUUACUCCUACAACUUGCUGAAAGUACUUCCUUGUGGAUUUCAUUAUUGAAACUGAUCCUGUGAGUUAAAAUGCGUGAGAAACAUCUGUACUGGAUGUGUUCAUAAUGUCAUAUGCAGAAUGCUUGUUCCAGUGCUCCUGUCUACAAUGGUGUUCCUGGGACUACUCCGAUGGUGCUUGCUGACCAACGGAUGCGACUUAGUGUGUUGCCCUGAUGUUUUCUGUGCACUUUUAGUCAGUUUUUCUUGUUGAGGGAAGACAAGUGUCCUUCCAUAGCUAAUUGGCUUUUUUGGGUCCACUAGUAGCUAAAACACUGCUUUUGAAAUUUUGUGAAGUCCCAGAUGCAGACUUCAAAUAUAACUAAGGAAAAGUCAAUGUUUGCAUCUUGUUGUGAUUUUCAAAAAACGUGUUGUUCAGUGGAAUGGUUUCACCCAGCCAUUUUCCACUGAAUUAAUCUCUAAGCAAGUGAUUUGGAUAAUGUUCUUUUAAGGGAGGAACAAGGGUGUCCCUAGCUAAGACCAUUUCAGAUGCACAGGGGUGAGCUAACUCUGUUAGAUUCUGUAGAUGUUUUGGGUCUUUAAGAUUCAGUUUCCUGGAAUUCCAGUUGCGAAGGACUUAAGCUUAAAAAGUCAAUGAGCCCUGUGCAUUAGAGAAUUCCCAUCCUGCCUUUGGGAUCCGGAGUGGGAGGUGCCUGGAGAUGGGUCUGUUGGAGAUGCCCUACCGUGUGAUACUGUAACCAUUGGAAGGAUACAGUUCUUCUCUGUGGCUUUGAUAAAUAUACAAUCAAUUUAAAUAUUUCAUUAGUAACAUCUCUUCUCAUCCUGCAAAGAAGUAUCUCAUCUAACCCUUGGGUGUGGUCUCUUCACUCUGGAGGUCAUUGGUUCAAGGACACAAGAUAAUCACUGUGCUUUACCUGUUUUGAGUCUUUGUGCCAAUAGAACCUUUGUAUAAAGAACCAAGGAAUUCUGGGGGAGCGGUGAUUGUGAAGUCCGGUUUGUUUGGUACUGAUGGAGUCAGUCAAGUACUGCUGCCUCUGUGCUGCAGCGUUCUUGUACAGAACUUGAUCUGUUUUAACGAGGGUGCUCCAGCAACUGAGGCUGCUUUCUGCUGGGUUACAGAAAGAAAGGCACGCAGAGCAGAGCCAGAUCCCCUCUGGAGCAUGGAGCCAACCUCUGCUGAAUCCAGCAGAGCCCCAAGUUGUGGGGAGCAGGGCCUGUCUCCCGCAACAUGGCGAAAUAAGUACUGAGACUACCGAGACUAGACUAGACCACUGAGACUAUUAAGACUAACUCUAUGCAUCUGAUCUCCCAUCAUAUGGCGCUGAGAGAGUAAACAAAUCUUACACAGCUGCUUCGUUAAUUAGCUGAUUCCUGGCCCAACCCCUUAAAAGGGGGAGAGAGACAACAUGUGCGCCGUGCCCCCCUAAGAGAGUCGGUUGGAGAGCUCGCCGCUGCUGCUCCUCCGCGGAGGCGGGGGAGCGGCAGCAAACCCGGGAAGGACCGGGGAGAGAAAACAGCGCAGGGUCCGGUGUCGUUCCUCCGCGAGUGGGGGGAGCGACACUGAGUGGCCUGCAGACCUACGUAGUGUCACAGCAGACUAAUGACAAACAGUGAACAUUUGCAAGUGAGUCCGUGAGCACGCUCAGCAUUGAGUGUAACCUUCAGGGCUCUUGCUCCCUCCUACCCUAACAUCUAUGAAGAGUUACUAACACACAGGUGCUUGGAGGUUCUGCUCAGAAUUACCUGGACAUGUGCCUUUGUUCCCAAAAUAUGUUGGUGUCUGGCAGCUGUGUCAGACUAGAAGCUAGUCCCUAAGAGGUGCUAUUAUUUUUCAUCAUUCACAACUUUGAGAUGAAAGAUGUACCCGUCUGGGGCUGAUCAGAGCAGAGCCGUGAACUUAUUCUGCCGCAAUGCAGGGUUUCCUGUAAGCACCAGGACGUCUGUGCACGUGGUAGGGGCUGGGGAGCAGUGAUCUGAAGGCUGACACUGAGCUCAGGGCUAGAAAGCGAGGGACCUGUGAGCCCGUCUGACGUCUGAGAAGUCACCUGGGCUGGUUCCCAGAGUGGGCGUGUCCAGUGAGGCCCGUGAGACUCCCAGGUGUGACAGAGCUGAUGCAGUUGCCAUUGAGACAUUCCUUACCCACACCUGGAACCUCUCGGGGAAGGGAGUGUGGAGAGAUGUGGCUCCAGGGGCGGGUGUUUGGCCUAGUGGUGAAGCCCAAUUUGAUACUGAAAGUCCGCUCCUCAUCAGAUCAGAAUAACAAGGACAAAGGUUGAAGAUAAGGGAGAGAGGAAGUUUGAUCUACCAGUGGGAGAAGAAGCUAGCAGACCUCGGGUCCCAAGAACUGCCAUCCCACUCAGUGAGACCAUCUUGGACGUCAGCACAGUUCCUUGAGAAACUUGCUUGAUGGGUUGACUUUAUGGUGUUCUGCACAACCAGGCAGCCACAACAUGACAUCAGGCCAAAAUCUGAAAGAGGCGAAGUCUUGUGUUAAAAGAUUCUGACGUUUUGUGCAUCAGGAUGAAGCCCGCCAUCCCAGAGCCCGGGCCUGCCAUGUCCUUAGGUACCCAUUCCCGGGACUUCACAUUCCCUUACAGUCAAUGGAAACCUCCUGUCCUGCCGGCCAGGGUGGACCAGGUCACUCUGCUACUUCAGCUGGGCCUCCUCAAGGCAGUUUCUGGAAUUCAUGAGCAAGGUUGUUUAUCUGUUUGAACAGACCCUCUCUGUAGUCAUCAGAAUAUGAAAAGGAAAAGAAAAAUGUAUCUGGUCUAGUGACAGUUCAGUCCUGUGUCAGAGUACUUGGGUUCAUAUCUUGGCUCUGGCUCCUGGUUCCAGCUGCCGGCUAACACACACACUGGGAGGCAGCAGUGUCCCCUCAAGCAAUCGGGGUCCUGCCGUCCUCGUGGAGGGCCUGUAUGGACUCCCCAGCUCUUGUCUUUGGCUCUUCUGUUUGUCUUUUUUAAAAAAAUUUUUAUUUAUUAUUUUGAAAUAUAGAGUUACAGAGAGAGGGGAGAUAGAGAGAGAGAGGGGUCCUCCAUCCACUGGUUCACUCCUAAAUGGUUACAACAGCCAGAGCUGAGCUGAUCCGAAGCCAGGAGCCAGGGGCUUCCUCUGGGUCUCCCACAUGGGUGCAGGGCCCCAAGCACCUGGGCCAUCUUCCACUGCUUUCCCAGGCCAUUGCAGAGAGCUGGAUCGGAAGAGGAGCAGCUAAGACACAAACCAGCAUCUCUAUGGGAUGUUGGCAUUGCAGGCAGAGGCUUAGCCCACUAUGCCACAGCACCGACCCCUUGUGUUUGCUUUGAGCUCCAAAGCCCAUGCACUUGCACACCUCACAGCUGCCCCUAGAAGUUCAGUUUCCUUGGAGAGGGCGACGCUUCCUAUUCAUGUAUGCUGCUUCAGUCAACUGGAAUUUUUGGUAGACUGUAGUAGAAACAUAUGUAUGUAGAAAGAAUUCAGUGGAAUUUUAGAAAUCAAAUUGUUUUGAUCUUGAAAUAAGAAGCCGAGAGAAUAUUGACCAAAUUUUUUCACCAGUAAACACCAUUCUUCUCCUGUGCCACUUAGUUUGUUCGUAUUUUGCAACAGGAAUUCUCGCCACCCUCACCAAGGCUGGUUCCUUGAGAAGCAGGUGUCUGGUUGUCUCUUGAUUGCCUCCCUGACCCCAGGCAGCAGGGCCCUGUCAAGCCACAUAAAAAACCAUCUUUUAAUUAGUUAGUGACUUGAAGUUUUUUCACUCCAUCACCUGGAUUUGCUCAGGAGUAUGAAGAAAAAGAGAUGGCGGCUCAAUAUUCUUGUCACAAUCCCUUCUCAAACAGGGCCUGACUUCCCUGUGAUGUGGAAGAAUAUUUGCAUUUGAGAAAAGCAUCUGUUUUGCCUGGUCGCUGGAAUUUGCUUUCACUCUCAACCCUAUCCAGUCUGUCUCUCCCAGCUUCUAAAAAUAUAAUCGCUUUUUUUUUUUUUUUUUUUGCUCUCCUUUCAACUUGAAACGGACAGAGAAUGCAGACAUCUUGGACCAUUUACACCCAGAGGGCUGUCAGCAGAGGCGCUGGGAGAUGGAACACACAUACCCGACAAACUGAAAUGUUUUGCAUUAGCUUGAGCUCCGACAGCCCCCACGUCGGGGAGCAACCACCAGGACUCAACUGCAAAUCCCCAUUGCUGUGAGAGAGUCCUGUAGACUGGAAUAAUUGCUAAUAUUUUCCUGCUUCAUAGACUGUGGGUCCAGACAAGCCAUUGGGUCGUUGUUAGCCUCUGCUGCUGGGUCAGCCCUGUCUGCCGAUUCCACCAGGUGGUAACUAUUUCAUGACAAGUUUACAGGGGGAAGAAGUCAAAAGUCCACCCUUAUUUUAAGUGGAUCUCUCCUAACCUCUGCUGGGCUUAUUUGGCAUUCUGAUUGUGACAUAGCUGGUCCUAGGGGUGGCCGGGCAGCAGUUCCCUUGUCUGCAUUUUUGGCAAAGUUGUUUCUAUAAAACAUAUCACAGGUGCAUCUAGAGUCCGUGUCAGAUGGAAGCCUUGGAAACCUCGAGAGCAGGUCUGCCUUCUGCCCUGGGCCCCAGGAUGGUGUCACACACUAGCCUGGGAUGCCUCCAGCAGAGUUGGACAGUUCAGUGUCUUCUGCCUCAGGCACAGCCAGAGCCUGCCUGUGCAUGACUUUGUCUCUCACAGCCUUCAAGAGAUGCCAGAGCUUGUGUCACCUCUGCUGGCAUUCUCCAGUGACUUACAGAAGACAGAUCAUUUGUGCUGAGCCAUGGAGGUCCUCAUCCUCAUCCUUUUUGUAAGACGUAUGGGUUAAAAACUUGGGGACUGGUGUUGUAGCACGGUGAGUUCAAGUCCCAGCUGCUCCACUUCCGAUCCAGCUCCCUGCUGAUGUGCCUAGGAGAACAGCAGAUGAUGGCCAAGAACUCAGGUGCCCGUAGCCUAUGUGGGAAAACCCAAUGAAGCUCCUGCCCCUGGCUUCAGCCUGGCCCAGCCCUGGCCGUUGGGGCCACUGGGGGAGUGGACCAGCAGAUGGACGAUCUCUUUCUGUCUCUCUCUCUCACUUCCUAUAACUCUGUCUUUCAAAUAAUCUUUUUAAACACCCCCCCCCAAAAAAAACCUAAAAGGUCCAUGUACUCUUGUGCACUGCUGGUGGACGUGUGAUUGACAUGACCACUUUGCUAUGCACUGUUACAUCUAAGAAAGCAGAGCAUGUAUGUGUCCUAUGACCCAGCAAGUCCAUGCCUAGGAAAAAACCUAAUAGAAAUGGAGGCUUUUGUGCAUUGGAAGGCCAUGUGUGUCCUAGGGUUGGGUGUUUGGCACGGCCGUUAAAGACACCACUUCAUGCACCCACAAAUCCGUAGCAGAGUGCCUGUUCUAGCGCUGGGUCCUCUGCUUCUGACCCAGCUUCCUGCUAAUGCGCACCCUCGGAGGCAGUAAGUGACGGCCCAAAUACCUGGGUUCCUGCCACCCAUAUGGGAGACCUGGAUGGAGUUCCUGGCUCUGGCUUUGACCCAGCCCAGCUCUGGCUGUUCGCAGAAUUUGGGGGGAGUGAACCAGCAGAUGAAAGAUUUUUUUUUAUCUCUCUGCCUUUCAAAUAAAGUGAAAAUAAUUGAAGAAAUAAGUAAAAGUAGCACUAUUUAAAAAAAAAAAAAAAGAUAAGAAGACAUGUAGUAGAAGGAUCUCAGUAGCAUUAUUUAGAGUUUUCCCAAACUGAAAAUCCUGCAGAGGCUCCUCGGCAGAAUUGAUCAAUAGUUUGUGUGCUACUUGUCUGGUACUGUUACCACAGUGGCGAGAAUGAAAGAAGUGCGGUUGCAUGCCACGACAGGAAUGGAGCUCACACACGGAGUGCCGAAUGUUGGAAGCCAAGUGCAGCGCGCCUGUUUCUGUGCUUGAAUUCCUUACCUGAAGUGUGAGAAUAAGAAACAUUGAUUCAUGGCGUCGGAAGCAGGAUGGGGGGUGGGAUUUGGGGGUGAGGAAGCCCGGGCUGGGGGCCUGACACCAUCCUCCCCCUGAUUCUGGGGCCUGACUGCACUUGUGUGUUUGUUUUGCAUUAACUUCGUCCUCAUUUGGGCCCUCUCCUGUACGAAUGUGAGACUUUGGUAGUAUUAAAAAUAUGAGAAAUAGAAAUCCUGUGAUGGCAGAGCCAACUUCUCCGUUUUCCUUUCCAAAUUGGCUGUCAGCUGACCAUAAGCGCUCUUGACAAGCACCCUCUUUCUCACUGUUCUUGGAUCCUCUAGUUAAUGGGUCCUACUCCACUGCCCAGCUUCAACCACGAACCCUAAUCUCAUGCUUCUCUCUUCUCUCAACUCCCACCAUUCUGGGGUACUCCACACCCUCCUCUGACCUCCCCAGUCCACCAGCAUCCCUACACUCAGGACCCGGUGCUUGGCAGGGCUGGCCCUAUGCUUCUAAAGCACCUGUGGCCAUUGAGGCAAAAACACCUCCUGUCCAUGUUUCAAUGGCACCUGACGCCCCCUAUUUAUUCUUCCUGAUGAAUAUUCCUACUUAGUUGUUAAAAUCGGGCUGAUAUAGUAGUAGUAUUCUAUAAUCCGUCCAUCCAUCCAUCCAUCCAUCUGACUUUCCAGGCAGGUUCCUUGUGAGUGAGAGGACCUUCAACCAGUAGCCCCCAGGGAGUGGUCAGCAGAGUGUUGACCUCUAAGUUUUGAAGAAUGGACUGAACUGUUGUUUUU
This is a non-coding RNA of Oryctolagus cuniculus (rabbit), 11547 nucleotides long. NCBI's taxonomy places the organism in Eukaryota, Metazoa, Chordata, Mammalia, Lagomorpha, Leporidae. The record is from RefSeq and is a predicted model, not a curated record.